Molecule: ribosomal RNA, 253 nt
Filed under: uncultured bacterium
Lineage: Bacteria
Description: partial 16S ribosomal RNA
Rfam family: Bacterial small subunit ribosomal RNA
Source: RNAcentral
UACGUAGGGUGCAAGCGUUAUUCGGAAUUACUGGGCGUAAAGCGUGCGCAGGCGGUUAUUCAAGACAGAUGUGAAAUCCCCGGGCUUAACCUGGGAACUGCAUUUGUGACUGCAUAGCUGGAGUACGGUAGAGGGGGAUGGAAUUCCGCGUGUAGCAGUGAAAUGCGUAGAUAUGCGGAGGAACACCGAUGGCGAAGGCAGUCCCCUGGACCUGUACUGACGCUCAUGCACGAAAGCGUGGGGAGCAAACAGG